RNAcentral lists this ribosomal RNA (469 nucleotides) under uncultured bacterium. Its description in RNAcentral is "partial 16S ribosomal RNA". It matches the Rfam family "Bacterial small subunit ribosomal RNA", at positions 28 to 507 of the family's 1533-position model. The record is from RNAcentral.
GACGAACGCUGGCGGCGUGCUUAACACAUGCAAGUCGAACGGAAAGGCCCUGCUUGCAGGGUGCUCGAGUGGCGAACGGGUGAGUAACACGUGGGUGAUCUGCCCCUUACUUUGGGAUAAGCCUGGGAAACUGGGUCUAAUACUGGAUAGGACCAUGCUGUAGGUGGUGUGGUGGAAAGAUUAGUUUCGGUAAGGGAUGAGCUCGCGGCCUAUCAGCUUGUUGGUGGGGUAAUGGCCUACCAAGGCGUCGACGGGUAGCCGGCCUGAGAGGGUGGACGGCAACAUUGGGACUGAGAUACGGCCCAGACUCCUACGGGAGGCAGCAGUGGGGAAGAUUGCACAAUGGGCGCAAGCCUGAUGCAGCGACGCCGCGUGGGGGAUGACGGCCUUCGGGUUGUAAACUCCUUUCAGCCAUGACGAAGCCCUUGUGGUGACGGUAGUGGUAGAAGAAGCACCGGCUAACUACGUG